RNAcentral lists this ribosomal RNA (440 nucleotides) under uncultured bacterium. Its description in RNAcentral is "partial 16S ribosomal RNA". It matches the Rfam family "Bacterial small subunit ribosomal RNA", at positions 338 to 795 of the family's 1533-position model. The record is from RNAcentral.
CCUACGUGAGGCAGCAGUGGGGAAUAUUGCACAAUGGGGGAAACCCUGAUGCAGCGACGCCGCGUGAGUGAAGAAGUAAUUCGUUAUGUAAAGCUCUAUCAGCAGGGAAGAAAAUGACGGUACCUGAGUAAGAAGCCCCGGCUAACUACGUGCCAGCAGCCGCGGUAAUACGUAGGGGGUAAGCGUUAUCCGGAUUUACUGGGUGUAAAGGGAGCGUAGACGGCAGUGCAGGUCUGGAGUGAAAGGCGGGGGCUCAACCCCCGGACUGCUCUGGAAACUGUACGGCUGGAGUGCAGGAGAGGUAAGUGGAAUUCCUAGUGUAGCGGUGAAAUGCGUAGAUAUUAGGAGGAACACCAGUGGCGAAGGCGGCUUACUGGACUGUAACUGACGUUGAGGCUCGAAAGCGUGGGGAGCAAACAGGAUUAGAUACCCUAGUAGUC